CCUGGCUCACGAUGAACGCUAGCUACAGGCUUAACACAUGCAAGUCGAGGGGCAGCAUGGUCUUAGCUUGCUAAGGCCGAUGGCGACCGGCGCACGGGUGAGUAACACGUAUCCAACCUGCCGUCUACUCUUGGACAGCCUUCUGAAAGGAAGAUUAAUACAAGAUGGCAUCAUGAGUCCGCAUGUUCACAUGAUUAAAGGUAUUCCGGUAGACGAUGGGGAUGCGUUCCAUUAGAUAGUAGGCGGGGUAACGGCCCACCUAGUCUUCGAUGGAUAGGGGUUCUGAGAGGAAGGUCCCCCACAUUGGAACUGAGACACGGUCCAAACUCCUACGGGAGGCAGCAGUGAGGAAUAUUGGUCAAUGGGCGAGAGCCUGAACCAGCCAAGUAGCGUGAAGGAUGACUGCCCUAUGGGUUGUAAACUUCUUUUAUAAAGGAAUAAAGUCGGGUAUGGAUACCCGUUUGCAUGUACUUUAUGAAUAAGGAUCGGCUAACUCCGUGCCAGCAGCCGCGGUAAUACGGAGGAUCCGAGCGUUAUCCGGAUUUAUUGGGUUUAAAGGGAGCGUUGAUGGAUGUUUAAGUCAGUUGUGAAAGUUUGCGGCUCAACCGUAAAAUUGCAGUUGAUACUGGAUAUCUUGAGUGCAGUUGAAGCAGGCGGAAUUCGUGGUGUAGCGGUGAAAUGCUUAGAUAUCACGAAGAACUCCGAUUGGAAGGCAGCCUGCUAAGCUGCAACUGACAUUGAGGCUCGAAAGUGUGGGUAUCAAACAGGAUUAGAUACCCUGGUAGUCCACACGGUAAACGAUGAAUACUCGCUGGUUGCGAUAUACUGCAAGCGGCCAAGCGAAAGCGUUAAGUAUUCCACCUGGGGAGUACGCCGGCAACGGUGAAACUCAAAGGAAUUGACGGGGGCCCGCACAAGCGGAGGAACAUGUGGUUUAAUUCGAUGAUACGCGAGGAACCUUACCCGGGCUUAAAUUGCAGAUGAAUUACGGUGAAAGCCGUAAGCCGCAAGGCAUCUGUGAAGGUGCUGCAUGGUUGUCGUCAGCUCGUGCCGUGAGGUGUCGGCUUAAGUGCCAUAACGAGCGCAACCCUUGUUGUCAGUUACUAACAGGUUCCGCUGAGGACUCUGACAAGACUGCCAUCGUAAGAUGUGAGGAAGGUGGGGAUGACGUCAAAUCAGCACGGCCCUUACGUCCGGGGCUACACACGUGUUACAAUGGGGGGUACAGAGGGCCGCUACCACGCGAGUGGAUGCCAAUCCCCAAAACCUCUCUCAGUUCGGACUGGAGUCUGCAACCCGACUUCAUGAAGCUGGAUUCGCUAGUAAUCGCGCAUCAGCCACGGCGCGGUGAAUACGUUCCCGGGCCUUGUACACAC
Molecule: ribosomal RNA, 1376 nt
Filed under: uncultured bacterium
Lineage: Bacteria
Description: bacterial SSU rRNA
Rfam family: Bacterial small subunit ribosomal RNA
Source: RNAcentral